This 357-nucleotide ribosomal RNA is filed under the name uncultured bacterium. RNAcentral's name for it is "bacterial SSU rRNA". It matches the Rfam family "Bacterial small subunit ribosomal RNA", at positions 441 to 793 of the family's 1533-position model. The record is from RNAcentral.
AGGAAGGUAGUGUAGUUAACACCUGCAUAUUUGACGUUACCUACAGAAGAAGCACCGGCUAACUCCGUGCCAGCAGCCGCGGUAAUACGGAGGGUGCGAGCGUUAAUCGGAAUUACUGGGCGUAAAGCGCAUGCAGGCGGCCUGUUAAGUCAGAUGUGAAAGCCCGGGGCUUAACCUCGGAAUUGCAUUUGAAACUGGCAGGCUAGAGUCUUGUAGAGGGGGGUAGGAAUUUCAGGUGUAGCGGUGAAAUGCGUAGAGAUCUGAAGGAAUACCAGUGGCGAAGGCGGCCCCCUCGGACAAAGACUGACGCUCAGAUGCGAAAGCGUGGGGAGCAAACAGGAUUAGAUACCCUGGUAG